GUCUGGAAGCAGGUGUGGGGGUUGCUGAGGUGCAGGUGUGUCGUAGGGAUUAGGAUUGCUGAGUUGCAGGUCUGGUUGCAGGGUCUUGUCUACAGGGGUGGAGGUUGCUGAGUAGCAGGUCUCGUUUCAGGGGUCCUCGUCUGCAGCAGUCGGGUUCCUGAGUUGCAUGUCUAGUUUUAGGGGUCCUUGUCUGCAGGGGUGUGGGUUGCUGAGUUUCAGGGGUCCUUUUCUGCAGGAGUGGGUGUUCCUGAGUUGCAGGUCUGGUUGCAGGGGUCCUUGUCUACAGGGGUGGGGUUGCUGAGGCCAGGCCUGAUCGCAGAGGUCCUUGUGUGCAGGGAUGGGGGUUCCUCAGUUGCAGGUCUGGUUGCAGGGGACCUUGUAUGCAGGGGUGGGGGUUCAUGAGGCCAGUUGUGGUUACAGGGACCCUUGUGUGCAGGGCUGGGGGUUGCUGAGGCCAGGUCUGGUCCCAGGGGUCCUUGUGUGCAGGAGUGGGGAUUGCUGAGUUGCAGUUCUGGUUGCAGGGGUCUGGUGUGCAGGGGUGGGGGUUGCUGAGUUGCAGGUCUG
Molecule: long non-coding RNA, 564 nt
Organism: Herpailurus yagouaroundi (jaguarundi)
Lineage: Eukaryota; Metazoa; Chordata; Mammalia; Carnivora; Felidae
Exons: 3
Source: RefSeq, a predicted model, not a curated record